CACGUAGUUAGCCGUGACUUUCUGGUUAGGUACCGUCAAAGUCGAGACAGUUACUCCUCGACUUGUUCUUCUCUAAUAACAGAACUUUACGAUCCGAAGACCUUCUUCAUUCACGCGGCAUUGCUCCAUCGGGUUUGCACCCAUUGUGGAAGAUUCCCUACUGCUGCCUCCCGUAGGAGUCUGGGCCGUGUCUCAGUCCCAGUGUGGCCGAUCACCCUCUCAGGUCGGCUACGUAUCAUGGUCUUGGUAGGCCAUUACCCCACCAACUAACUAAUACGCCGCGGGAUCAUCUAAAAGCGACAGCAAAGCCGUCUUUCUUUCCAGAACCAUGCGGUUCAAGAAUAUAUGCGGUAUUAGCAUCCGUUUCCGAAUGUUAUCCCCCAUCUUAGGCAGAUUCCCCACGUGUUACUCACCCGUUUCGCCACUCAUCCGCACUCUGCAAGCAGAGUGCUUCAGCGUUCGACUUGCAUGUAUUAGGCAUGCCGCCAGCGUUCGU
This 496-nucleotide ribosomal RNA is filed under the name uncultured Atopostipes sp. RNAcentral describes it as "partial 16S ribosomal RNA". Lineage: Bacteria; Bacillati; Bacillota; Bacilli; Lactobacillales; Carnobacteriaceae. The record is from RNAcentral.